RNAcentral lists this ribosomal RNA (427 nucleotides) under uncultured bacterium. Its description in RNAcentral is "bacterial SSU rRNA". It matches the Rfam family "Bacterial small subunit ribosomal RNA", at positions 354 to 796 of the family's 1533-position model. The record is from RNAcentral.
GUGGGGAAUAUUGGGCAAUGGGGGAAACCCUGACCCAGCAACGCCGCGUGAAGGAAGAAGGUUUUCGGAUUGUAAACUUCUGUCCUUGGUGAAGAGAAGAAGACGGUAGCCAAGGAGGAAGCCCCGGCUAACUACGUGCCAGCAGCCGCGGUAAUACGUAGGGGGCAAGCGUUGUCCGGAAUGAUUGGGCGUAAAGGGCGCGUAGGCGGCUUUGUAAGUCUGGAGUGAAAGUCCUCUUUUCAAGGGAGGAAUUGCUUUGGAAACUAUAGAGCUUGAGUGCAGGAGAGGUUAUCGGAAUUCCCGGUGUAGCGGUGAAAUGCGUAGAUAUCGGGAGGAACAUCGGUGGCGAAGGCGGGUAACUGGACUGCAACUGACGCUGAGGCGCGAAAGUGUGGGGAGCAAACAGGAUUAGAAACCCGAGUAGUCC